This 371-nucleotide ribosomal RNA is filed under the name Vibrio cholerae. RNAcentral describes it as "bacterial SSU rRNA". It matches the Rfam family "Bacterial small subunit ribosomal RNA", at positions 350 to 712 of the family's 1533-position model. The record is from RNAcentral. Lineage: Bacteria; Pseudomonadati; Pseudomonadota; Gammaproteobacteria; Vibrionales; Vibrionaceae.
AGCAGUAGGGAAUCUUCCGCAAUGGACGAAAGUCUGACGGAGCAACGCCGCGUGAGUGAUGAAGGCUUUCGGGUCGUAAAACUCUGUUGUUAGGGAAGAACAAGUGCUAGUUGAAUAAGCUGGCACCUUGACGGUACCUAACCAGAAAGCCACGGCUAACUACGUGCCAGCAGCCGCGGUAAUACGUAGGUGGCAAGCGUUAUCCGGAAUUAUUGGGCGUAAAGCGCGCGCAGGUGGUUUCUUAAGUCUGAUGUGAAAGCCCACGGCUCAACCGUGGAGGGUCAUUGGAAACUGGGAGACUUGAGUGCAGAAGAGGAAAGUGGAAUUCCAUGUGUAGCGGUGAAAUGCGUAGAGAUAUGGAGGAACACCAG